Long non-coding RNA from Electrophorus electricus (electric eel), 248 nucleotides. RefSeq lists it as uncharacterized. Lineage: Eukaryota; Metazoa; Chordata; Actinopteri; Gymnotiformes; Gymnotidae. The record is from RefSeq and is a predicted model, not a curated record.
GAGCAAUCCGAAGAGACAGAGGAGCGUCCGAAUCAUUUUCGGCAGAACUGCGCUGACCGACAGCUGCCAGCGUUCGAGGAACCUUAAGGACAUUCUGAGGGAGGGGCGGGGCCGGGUAUGGCGCCCCACGCCUGGACGAGCUACUCAGGCUUCACGAUGCAGGUCUAUGGAAAAUCAGUACCAAGGAAAGUGGAGCCCUUCUAUGUUGGCAGACUAUUACUGGACACUGAAGAGGGAUGUUCAAGAUA